GUCCGUGAUUAUACAGAUGUGGAAACGCCUUGCUCCAUCCCGAACCAAGAAGCUAAGCACAUCGUGGGUGAUGAUACUACGCCUUAC
RNAcentral lists this ribosomal RNA (87 nucleotides) under Campylobacter jejuni. The record is from RNAcentral. RNAcentral also lists the same sequence under 1 other name. Lineage: Bacteria; Pseudomonadati; Campylobacterota; Epsilonproteobacteria; Campylobacterales; Campylobacteraceae.